GCAGUUAAAAAGCUCGUAGUUGAACUUCUAAGGAUUGAAGUCGCCUUAUGGCUUGUAUUGAUAUCCUUAUCCGCUUUGGUUUAGCAAUACGCACUUUGUUGGGCGAUUGUGUAACCAGGCAGUUUACUUUGAAAAAAUUAGAGUGUUUCAAGCAGGCGAUUUGCUGGAAUACAUUAGCAUGGAAUAAUAGAACACGACCUCUUAGGCAUUUUAUUGGUAUAUGACUGGAGGUAAUGAUUAACAGGGACAGUUGGGGGCAUUAGUAUUGCAUUGUCAGAGGUGAAAUUCAUUGAUUAGUGCAAGACUAACUUAUGCGAAAGCAUUUGCCAAGGAUGUUUUCAUUAAUCAAGAACGAAAGUUAGGGGAUCAAAGACGAUUAGAUACCGUCCUAGUCUUAACCAUAAACUAUGCCGACUCGGGAUCGGGAGCGUGUGUUAUCCCGCUUUCGGCACCGUAUGAGAAAUCAAAGUCUUUUGGGUUUCUGGGGGGAUUAUGGU
RNAcentral lists this ribosomal RNA (497 nucleotides) under uncultured eukaryote. Its description in RNAcentral is "bacterial SSU rRNA". It matches the Rfam family "Eukaryotic small subunit ribosomal RNA", at positions 615 to 1129 of the family's 1831-position model. The record is from RNAcentral.